This is a long non-coding RNA of Arvicola amphibius (Eurasian water vole), 3865 nucleotides long. RefSeq lists it as uncharacterized. NCBI's taxonomy places the organism in Eukaryota, Metazoa, Chordata, Mammalia, Rodentia, Cricetidae. The transcript has 3 exons. The record is from RefSeq and is a predicted model, not a curated record.
GUGGCAGACACCAUGAUUCUUCUGCCCGAGACAGACGCUGGUUAGACUCAUGCCGGGACAAGAAACAGGAGUCUGGCCUGCGAGUCCCCUGCAUCAGGGCCAGAAGCUCUCAGUUGCAAGUGGCCUGGGCAGCUCCACAGAAAACUCUCCCCCUGCAGAGAGUGGCCCUCGAGAGCCCAGAAAGUUACGUGAAGGACCAAGACAAUCACUGGCCAGGUCUGAGGUGAUCAGAGGCACUCUGUUCCACAUGCGGGGUCUCCCAGAAAUCUUGGCUAUGCAGGAGAAUUUAAUGCCUGUCUGCUUGCAUGGGUAGCCCUGGGGCACCUGUGGUUCUGGGUCCCCUCCGUGAGGACUGAUGGGAACAACCCUGUCAGAAGAGACCCAAGGGUACACCUAGUCAUUCUGGCCCAGCUCCAUCGUGUGUCCCUUCCUUCCCCUCAGGGCCUCCAAGGGAAGAGCAGCAAAUGGAUUCUCUCUGGAGACAGCUUACAAUAGAAUAAGACCAGAGAGGCCUUUCCAGCUGUCUAUGGAGGCACACACAAGGGACCCAGCACUCAGGAGUCUGAGGCAGGAGGAUUCGUGUUCAGAGGCAGCCUAGACUUUCUGGUAAGAGCUUGUCACUCCAAAAAUUCACAAAGCCAAGACAACAUAAAGUAAAAACAACUCUCCUGUGGUGGUUUUGGGCACCUGGGAGGGAAAAGACUUUCCCCCACAUAGUUACUGUUGUGAACUCUCCAGUCUCACAGCACAGUGCCAAGAGACCAGAGCUUAGCUGUGGGCAGUCACUCCUGCCCUCUCCUUGAGCCAGCACAGAGAGUAGAGUUCUCCUCACCCCCAAGCCUAGUGGUCAGGUGCAUACAGAGGCAUCCCGAGACUGUUGGCUAAGGCUGGGUGGUGCCACAGGGAGCCAGGCAUGGCAGGCCUGGUAAAGACAGAGCAGGGAGCAGAGCAAUGUUCAGGCUUGGAAGUAGGUAGGGGUGAGAGGAGAGGCUCUGCCUUGGCCUGGGCUGUAAGGACUGGUGAGCUGCUGCACUGGUCCCUAUAACCAUAAGCAGGAGUGUCCACGGCCAGUCAGGGCUCUGCUGACUAUCAGUCUCUUUCCCAGGAAGUGCACACCCACUCAUACACAGACAACGAAUGCACACCCACUUGUUCACAGGCAAUCAGUGCACACUCACUCGUACACAACCAGUGCACACCCACGCAUACACAAUCAGUACACAUCCAUGGUUACACAAUCAGUGCACAUCCAUGCAUACAAACAACCAGUGCAUAACCACACAUACACAGACAAUCAGUGCACACCCAUGUGUACAAUCAGCACACACCCACACCCACACAGACAAUUGGGAGCAGUUAGAAAGCCUGCGGACACAUACCAGAUACACAUUCAUAGUAGAUCCACAUCCACAGCUGUAUGUAUUGUACGCGGCCCACACAACACACUGUCAGGGACAGACACGUGUACAUGGAUGUCCUAGACAGAUACACACAUGUCACCAAGGCUGGUAACAAGGCCCCUGAACUCCUUCACAUGGCAUACUGUGUCCCAUCUCAUCUGCGCAUCUGGGGCACAAAGUCGGGCACUUGGGAGACCUUGGUCCUGUCACCAUAACUUGGGUUGCAUCUCAUCAGUCUGCCUGACACGCGUGGUCUCAGGAAUUCUAAUACCCUUCCUCCAUGUUCUCAGACAAAUCAGCCACAGAUAAAGAACUGAGGGAGCCUGGAGUCCCCUCCAGACAUAAAGAAUCUGGGGCCUCAGGCAGACAGACCCGACGACAUCAGCGUUGAGAGAGGCACAGUUCAGGCCAAUUUCAUCCCUGAUGCCUCAGGAUCCUGUGAUCCGGAACACGGCCAGCGCAGAACCUCAGGCUAUCCGACCCUCCCCGGGGGAGACUCCCUGGUUGUUUUGGGGAACUACUCUUGCUCAGCUUCUGAUGGCCCCUCUAUCCCCUCAGCCCAGAGUUGUGGCAUUCUCGAUAUCCCUGGCCCAACAGUAGCUAGAGACAUCGAGUCAGCCCCGGCCACUAGAUGCAGGGACAUCCUCCAUCCCCAGAAUAGCUACACAGAUAGGUCGUGCCAGGCACCAGAAGCCUGUCUCUGGGGAGCUAUGGGUAGUACUGGCUCUCUCCUUCCUCCCUCCAUCACGAGUUUGGGAAACCAUCAGUUAUUAAAUCCUAGCUGCAUGUGUAGCAACACCCUAUAAUUACACAGUGCUUACUGCAGGCCAGGGUCUGUUCUCGGGACUUCUCACGUUCGUUCAUUCAUUCUGUCUCUGGAACAGUACUACAGUGGUUGUCUCUAUGCUCCGUUCCCUUAACUUUGUUUGUUGAGACCGUCAUUCACAGCGUGAGCUGGCCUCAGCCUUGCUAUCCUCUUUCUGCACGCUGGGCACUGGAUUACACUUUCUGCACUACACUAACCGCUCCUUUUUUUUAACAUUUUUUCUUUCUCUCUCUUUUUUAUUUUAUGUAUGUCAAUAAUUUGCCUAGAUAGAUGGAUGUACACUUCAUGUGUGUCUGGUGGCCAUGAAGGCCAUAAGAGAGUGUCAGAUCCCCUGGAACUGGAGUUACAGAGUUAGGAGCCACCCCUUGGGUUCUGGGAACUGAACCUGGGACAUCUGGGAAAGCCUUUGACCGCUGAGCCAUCUCUCCUGCCCCAACAUGCUAUUUUUCUUGAUAACUAAAAUAACAUGUGUCCAGGGCUGGGGAAAGUCUGUAAAAUGUUAGCCUUGCAAGCCUGGGGACCUGAAUUAGGUCCCCAGCACUCAUGUAGAAAGCUGGGCUUGGUAGCAUGCCAUCUGUAACUCCUGUUCUGAGGAAGAAGAGGCAGGAUGGCCCUGGGACAUACUGGCUAGCCAGACAACCCUAAUCAGUGGGCUCCAGACCAGUGAAAGGCCCUGUCUCAAAAAAAACAAACAAAAACAAUAACAAACAGACAAAUGACCCCUAAGGAACAAUACCCAGUGCCAGUGCCAGACGUGGUGGUAUAUGCCUUUAACCCAGCACUUAGGCGGCAGAGGCAGGUGGAUCUCUGAGGUCAAGGCCAGCCUGGUCUACAGAGUAAGUUCCAAGAGAGCCAAAGCUACACUAAGAAACCUUGUCUCAAAAAAACUAAAAACAAAACAAAAACAAAAACAACACCGAAGGUCAAGCUCCAACCUUCACAGCCACGUGGCACACACAAAUAAGUAUAAUGUCUUAUGUAAAACGUGCUAUAUAAACAUGAGAAAAGUCAGACAUGAUGCAAAGUUUCUCCAAACCCCUCCCUGGAAGAUAUGACUUUCAGGUCAGGUCGGUCGGUCGGUCUGUCUGUCUUCCUGCCCAGAACCCUGUCUGCAGCCACAGCUGGUCUAGAAGGAACCGCUUAACCAGUCCCCCACCCCCUCCACACACACACACCAAGCUCCCAGCUCCCCAGGCUGCCUGGGAGACUGCAUUCCUCAGGGUUUCCUAGCUUCCUGGGAACGUCUGGGGUGCUGAUAACCAAAGGAAGCAGCCACCCUCCCAGAGCAGCCCUCCGUGGGAAAGCAGGCCCUCUCCGGCCCCAGCCUCUCCCCUGCUUUUUUUAAACCUGUUUUUUUUUUUUUUUAACCUCCCCCGUUGUCAUUUUGCUGAAUUACCUCCACCACCCCUAAAGACAGAAAGCAGAUCCGUUCACUUUCCAGAGACUGGGGAACCCCUGGGUGGUCACUGAACCUCUAUAAGCCAAAGGGACCACUGGGCUGUGCAAGCCUCUGACCUUCUGUUUAAACCUAAGCUUCACGUCAGGACCUCAAAGAUGAGCUUGGGGAGGAGGUCACUGGGCCCCCUUUUUGUCCCUCUUUCAGUGUGGCCACGUUGAAUAAAUCUCUCUCUGCUUUUUA